CAGCACAACACUGAGAUGAAGGCGAAGUCACCAUGAAAAGUUAAACCUUUACCGUUAAGGUAAGCUCUGGUCUUCACAUAAUCAUUUUGACUAAGCUAUCAUUAUGGUAACAUUUUUCAACUGUAAGUUAGUUAUUUAAGUUAAACUAAACUCAUAAUGAAAUGAGUCUUAACUGUUUUAUUAAAUGGAGCUGAAAAUUAAAUGCAGUUGAAUUAUUUUAAGCUAAGGUUAAUAUUAACAAAAUACAUAUUUAUUGUCUAUUUAUCAAUAAUGUUAAUGAGCUUGAUUUAUAUUGUGUCAUUUAUUGUACAUUUAAUUUUUGCUGUUCAGGUGUACCUGAGGUGAGUGUACGUUCUGAGUACACAGAUAUAAGCCAAAGUCAUUAUCACUAUAUAUAUAUAUAUAUAUAUAUAUAUAUAUAUAUAUCCUAUUCUAAGAGAAAUUGAUGGGGUCAGUGAAUGAUUUGUGUACAAAUGUAUUUUAACCCCAUACAGAUUGGUAUGGUUGUACCAUAGAUUUAGAUUAAUUAAUGUUAAGUCUUAUUUUACUCUUAUUAUAUUUAUCUGUUUUUCAGCUACAGUAAUUGAUGUUGAAAAACUGAUGCUACCAAUCACUCCUCACUUGAUUAUUCAAGCCCAAAUUGUGAUGGACCUGGAAUGCGACACCAGUUACUCUUAAGACAAGAACCGAAUAAAGCACAGUGGAGGGAUUUGCAGCCAAACUAACUGGAGGGAAGGAACCUUUAGUGUGGGUGAACAUACUACCUGGAUGUCCAACAAAGGCUGCACAAGAGCUCAUUUGAUUGCACAUAUUCUGUCCUGUCUACAUCUCGGAUGACCUGGAAGUGCUUCGACAUCAGAUCAUCAUCAUGCUGCUGCCCUUUUUCACUGUCCCUUUCCACAUCAUUUGGCCUUCAUCAUUUCCUGUCUUGUAGCAGUAUUUUCACCUGUUUUUAAAAUUGUAAUAAUUUUUGAUGCAUUAAUUGUUGACUGGUUUUAAUGAUCAAUUGUUUAUUAGUGUUCUGUUGCUCUGUUAUAUUGAAUUACUGCUACUGUUUUAGCAUGGUUUACACAAUAAACCUUUAUUGUGAAGUUAAA
Molecule: non-coding RNA, 1097 nt
Organism: Danio rerio (zebrafish)
Lineage: Eukaryota; Metazoa; Chordata; Actinopteri; Cypriniformes; Danionidae
Source: Ensembl